AUACGGAGGGUGCAAGCGUUAAUCGGAAUUACAGGGCGUAAAGCGUGCGUAGGUGGUUUGUUAAGUCAGAUGUGAAAGCCCCGGGCUCAACCUGGGAACUGCAUUUGAAACUGGCAUACUAGAGUAUAGGAGAGGAAAGUGGAAUUUCAGGUGUAGCGGUGAAAUGCGUAGAUAUCUGAAGGAACAUCAAUGGCGAAGGCAGCUUUCUGGACUAAUACUGACACUGAGGUACGAAAGCGUGGGUAGCAAACAGGAUUAGAAACCCUAGUAGUCC
Molecule: ribosomal RNA, 274 nt
Filed under: uncultured bacterium
Lineage: Bacteria
Description: partial 16S ribosomal RNA
Rfam family: Bacterial small subunit ribosomal RNA
Source: RNAcentral